UGAGGAAUAUUGCGCAAUGGCCGAAAGGCUGACGCAGCGACGCCGCGUGGAGGAUGAAGUCCGUUAGGAUGUAAACUCCUUUUGCAGGGGAUGAAUGUUCCGCUAUACGCGGACUUGACCGUACCCUGCGAAUAAGGAUCGGCCAACUACGUGCCAGCAGCCGCGGUAAUACGUAGGAUCCAAGCGUUGUCCGGAUUUACUGGGUGUAAAGGGCGUGUAGGUGGAUUUUUAAGUCGGUGGUGAAAUCCUGCAGCUCAACUGCAGAAUUGCCUCCGAUACUGGAAAUCUUGAGUGCGGCAGAGGGAGACGGAAUUCAUGGUGUAGCGGUGAAAUGUGUAGAUAUCAUGAAGAACACCGGUUGCGAAGGCGGUCUCCUGGUCCGUUACUGACACUGAGGCGCGAAAGCGUGGGGAGCAAACAGG
RNAcentral lists this ribosomal RNA (422 nucleotides) under uncultured bacterium. Its description in RNAcentral is "bacterial SSU rRNA". It matches the Rfam family "Bacterial small subunit ribosomal RNA", at positions 355 to 776 of the family's 1533-position model. The record is from RNAcentral.